CCCCUAGUAACUGCGAGUGAAGCGGGAAAAGCUCAAAUUUAAAAUCUGGCGGUCUUCGGCCGUCCGAGUUGUAGUCUGGAGAAGUGCUUUCCGUGCUGGACCGUGUACAAGUCUCUUGGAACAGAGCGUCAUAGAGGGUGAGAAUCCCGUCUUUGACACGGACUACCAGUGCUUUGUGAUGCGCUCUCAAAGAGUCGAGUUGUUUGGGAAUGCAGCUCAAAAUGGGUGGUAAAUUCCAUCUAAAGCUAAAUAUUGGCGAGAGACCGAUAGCGAACAAGUACCGUGAGGGAAAGAUGAAAAGCACUUUGGAAAGAGAGUUAAACAGUACGUGAAAUUGCUGAAAGGGAAACGAUUGAAGUCAGUCGCGUCGGCCAGGACUCAGCCUUGCUUUUGCUUGGUGCAUUUUCUGGUUGACGGGCCAGCAUCGAUUUUGAUCGCCGGAAAAAGGUUGGGGGAAUGUGGCACCUUCGGGUGUGUUAUAGCCCUCAGUCACAUACGGCGAUUGGGAUCGAGGACCGCAGCACGCCUUUAUGGCCGGGGUUCGCCCACGUUCGUGCUUAGGAUGCUGGCGUAAUGGCUUUAAACGACCCGUCUUGAAACACGGACCAAGGAGUCUAACAUGCCUGCGAGUGUUUGGGUGGAAAACCCGAGCGCGUAAUGAAAGUGAAAGUUGAGAUCCCUGUCGCGGGGAGCAUCGACGCCCGGACUUGAACCUCGGUGAUAGAUCUGCGGUAGAGCAUGUAUGUUGGGACCCGAAAGAUGGUGAACUAUGCCUGAAUAGGGUGAAGCCAGAGGAAACUCUGGUGGAGGCUCGUAGCGAUUCUGACGUGCAAAUCGAUCGUCAAAUUUGGGUAUAGGGGCGAAAGACUAAUCGAACCAUC
Molecule: ribosomal RNA, 881 nt
Filed under: Fomitopsis primaeva
Lineage: Eukaryota; Fungi; Basidiomycota; Agaricomycetes; Polyporales; Fomitopsidaceae
Description: Antrodia primaeva partial large subunit ribosomal RNA
Rfam family: Eukaryotic large subunit ribosomal RNA
Source: RNAcentral